CCUACGCCUGAUGCUUUCCCAAU
RNAcentral lists this microRNA (23 nucleotides) under Blattella germanica (German cockroach). RNAcentral describes it as "Bge-Novel-3_3p* (star (passenger))". The record is from RNAcentral. Lineage: Eukaryota; Metazoa; Arthropoda; Insecta; Blattodea; Blattellidae.